GUAUUUUUGGAACAUGAUAGAAUCUACACUGUUUACCAGUCGGAAACCAGAGAACCUAGAGAAACAUCAGACGGAUACAGCAAGAACAUGUAAUACACCUUACAGACGGUGAACAAAGAUGAGGACUAAACCCAGGUUCUUAGGACUAAUUGCUGUGCUGCCCUCACUCUACCAGCUGCACCAGCAUUCCAUCAAUGUGUGUCACCGCUUUACCUUAUUCAGGAUCGUGGUGGGUCAGAUUCACUGGGUGAAAGGCAGGAAACAAGAAGAGCAUGCAAACUUCACACAGAAAGGACCCGAGUUGCUCCACCUGAGAAUCAAACCCAGGACCUUCUUGCUGUGAUGCAACAGUGCUACCCACUGAGCCACCUUGCAAACAAUUUCGUAAAAAAUAAA
This is a long non-coding RNA of Trichomycterus rosablanca, 396 nucleotides long. RefSeq lists it as uncharacterized. The transcript is spliced from 3 exons. The record is from RefSeq and is a predicted model, not a curated record. Lineage: Eukaryota; Metazoa; Chordata; Actinopteri; Siluriformes; Trichomycteridae.